This 1245-nucleotide long non-coding RNA is filed under the name Oryza brachyantha (malo sina). Its description in RNAcentral is "long non-coding RNA (OBRA_LNC000489)". Lineage: Eukaryota; Viridiplantae; Streptophyta; Magnoliopsida; Poales; Poaceae. The record is from RNAcentral.
UUACCUCUUGAGGCCUUCUAUCAGCCUCGAGCUUCGAUGGUUCAUCUUCUUUCCAAGAUUUAAUCAACACCGUCGAAAAUAAUUGGUUGCUCAACUUUCUAUGCAAAGGAAAAGGAAAUAUAUAAGAAAUAAUGUACACAGAUUUGGCAUGAUCCGUCCGUGGUAAAUCUUUGUUACUCUGUAUCAUAGGCAAGUAUUUGUCUAUUUAUGUAUCCUUAUACAAAUUGAGUACUCUAAGGAAAAACUCUUGCAUUAAGUGGAAUUUUUUUUUUUUGAGUUACAUCAAUAUAAAUGUGCUUCUUGACCCUCGAGAAAAAAAUCUACAUGCAUUUGAAAGAUGGUUAGAGUCCAUGUUAGAUGACUACCUUAACAGUUUCGUCUUUUCAAGUGAGUUAAUCCAUUUUCUGAUCCUCAGGGUUAUCGUGAUUACAAAUCGUAUCGAGGAUCGACAUAGGUUACAAUAUCGUAAAACAAAUUUUUCUAUCAGGUAAACUAGAAAUCAAGUAAGUAAAUAAUCAUGGAUCGUUACCACACGAAUGCAUUGUGUAGUGGAAGAAGGUGCUAAAAAGCCGAAGUAAUAUAGCGAUCUGACGCACAUUGAUGUAGAGGAAUUAGUCGAACAAUGUAGCCUAACCUUCUCCUUUACAUGCAUAUACCUCACGACGCAAUUGCGCCGAUCAACACCCCUCUACUGGUAUCCACACGUACGGGACGAAACGCCAUGUGCAGAUGUGCUAACAUCCGAGUGCAGCUAGAGGUUUGGCUCGGAGGAGGACGAUUAAGGUUUUCUCAUGCAACGAACCACCCUUCUCGUCCCUGUAUAUAUAAGACCCGAAACUGGGCCUCCAAGACCCACAUGAGUCCUACUCGGAUCCAUAUCCAAACCGAGUCUGUAUUGGAUCAACAUCCAAUUCCCUUAUCCUAGCCCAUUAAGUAUGUGACUCAUAGGUUCAUGAAUACUCGGUUAAAAUCCAAAAACUUCUUUUUAGUCCACAACCAGUAGUGGCUUCUAGCAGAACAUAGUGACCUACCAAGUAAACAUAAAGAUUGCAUUGGCUAAACCUACAGUGUAUCUUUAUAUCAAUCCAUUUACAUUAUGAUAUCGAUUAAGAUUAAGGCUAGAUAUGUGUCAUCCUUUCAAUAAUUAAUCAUUCACUCGAUCCUAUAAUAGAUUAUUUAACUUGUAAUUGACUCCUCAAUCACCUUUGGCAUGACCCAUGCACUUCCAUAAUCUAUAACUCCGAG